CUCAAUAUUUUUUUGCUGCAAGGUCACGAAGCUUCAGGGACAAUCUAGCCGCGGGCAACCGUAGAUGAAUCCGUAAGGAAUGCGUUGAAUCUGCUAGCACAAAAGCGGAGAGGAGC
Molecule: non-coding RNA, 116 nt
Organism: Legionella massiliensis
Lineage: Bacteria; Pseudomonadati; Pseudomonadota; Gammaproteobacteria; Legionellales; Legionellaceae
Source: Rfam